Molecule: long non-coding RNA, 2732 nt
Organism: Scylla paramamosain (green mud crab)
Lineage: Eukaryota; Metazoa; Arthropoda; Malacostraca; Decapoda; Portunidae
Exons: 5
Source: RefSeq, a predicted model, not a curated record
UGAGGUUGAAAACGAAAACGGGCUGCGUUCUUCAUUCCCUCUGCUGGCGUGGGAAGAGGAGGGCGUGCGUGGGCGUGGGCGCGGUUAAGUAAUUACGGAUUAUAUAAGGUGUGGGUGGACAGGUGAACUGCACAGGUGUUCGUGAUUAGCAGCCACCACCACCACCACUACUACUACUACUACUACUACUACUACUACUACUACUACAACAACAACAACAACUAUUGCCUGUGUUCUUUGUGUAGUGUGAAUGGUAGUGAAAUGAGAGUGCGUCUCCUCCAGAGUUUGUGAUCUAAUUGUUCGUGUUCCUGGAAAGAGAAACUUGUAAUGCAUAGAACUGUGAUUGAGAAAUAGCAAUGUGAUAAAACAAAGAAGUAAUAUACGAAGAGGAACAAAUAUUAUAGUUAUUUUUAGUAUUUUAUAAUGCCUGAAGGAAAAGUGUAUGACCACAGUUAAGUAUGUGUCAGAGAACCUAAGUUAAAUUAUAUGUCCGAGAAUCUAAUGUGUUAAAAGGAAAAAUUUAUAAUGAAAAGCAUGAAAAUCUUAUUCGUAUUUCUUAAAUCUGAAAAUUUUGACCAGAAUAAAUCCAACUUAAAUCAAACUUAACAAAAAUUGAGAAACAUUACAAGCAUGGCCACCGAACUCCUGUAAAAAUUAUAAGCACAUUGAUAAAAAUAUUUGGGGGGGACGGUAUGACACAGUGAGGCAGAGCUGGAGGGCAGUGGCUGGGUGUGGCAGUGUUGUGUUCAGGGUUUGCAUCUGAGCUGGGAAGUAAUGAAGGUUUCUUGACUCCAGGGUGCAGUUCUUGGUGUUUGGUGCUGCCUGUGUGAAGAGCAGUCAGUUAGCAGAGGGAAUGCAGGACUGAUGGAAGAGAAAUAUGAUGGAAGGUGAUGAAAGAGGAAAAUUAUGUACAGUAAUGAAAGAGGAAAAUGAUGGAAGGUGAUGAAAGAGAAAUGAUGGAAGGUGAUGAAAAAAAUGGAAGGUAAUGAUUGAAGAUAAAAAAUAAAGGUAACAAAAUAAGAUAGAAAAAAAUAGAAACAAUGAGAGUAGAAACAAUGAGAGAUAGGCAAGAUAUAAAAGAUAAUUUAAUUUCUUAGUCUACCAACUGAAAGAUGAUAUAGGGAAGUAGACUUUGAUGAAAUUGAAAUAUUUAAUGGAUUGGGAAAUAAAGAUCUUUGAGAUGAAUUAUUAGAGGAUAAGAAAGAGAUUGAUUUAAAGAAAUGAGGAAGCUAUUAAUGAAGCUAUCUGAAGCCUACACAGGUCGGCAUAUUCACUAAAGAUAUAUAGACAGUCAAGAGAAAUGCAUUAAGAAAACCACCGUACACCUUGUCAAUAACUUGUGACUGAAAGGCAGAGAAUGAGACCAAGCAUGGAAGGUAAACACAGAUAUGAUUUAUUUGACAGUUUGUUCAAGUUUAGAAGAAAAGUUUAAAUUUAUCUAUAUUCAAGUUUGUACAGGUGUGUUGGGGCUGUGCUGGCUUGGAUAUCUUGCAGGUGUGGUGGUGGUGGGUGCUGCUGCUGCCGCCCCCCUCACUUGUAGUCUAAGCAACACACCUGCCCUGCUGCUGCUGCUGCUGUGGACGUGAAGGACUCUACUUCAGGUGUUGGCAGUACUGGGGGAGAGACCGUCCUGUCCUGUCUUGUCUGAGUUCCCCCCACACUUCCCCACAGCAUACCGGCAAAGGGAGAGAGAUGUGACAGGAGAAAGGCAACAUCAAAUAAAGGAAGGGAAAGAACAGAUGUGCCAAGAGAUGCUAAGGAGGAAGACGCAUCAAUCCCACAUCUAAGGAAAAAGAUGUUUGUGAAGAUAAGGAAGAGGAGAUGACCUUGAGAAAGAAAAACAACCUGAGGAAGAAGAUAGUGAAGAUGAGAGAUGAUGUGUACCAAGGUGCUGAGAAAGAAGAGAGAAGAUUAUUUGUAUACUUGUCAUCCUGCUGUCUGUCUCUCCCUCCUGCAUGAGUGAACAUGUGUGUGAGACUCAGUGUGGCUGGCUGUGGUGCUGGUACAUGCAUGAGCUGCUGUGUGUUGUAAGUCCUUGAACUUCCCAACUAUGAUUAUUAUUGAUUGUUUUUUUUUUUUUUAAUAAAUUUUUUUUGCUGGAGAAGUUUGUGGUUUUUCUCCGGAGAGUGGUUUUUCUCCGGAGAGUCUUUUAAGUAUCUCUAAAAGUCCAUAGAGCUGACACCUUACUCCCCAUACACCACCACACCUCAACCUCCUCCCCACACCUCUUUGCUUAGCUGUGAAACUUGCUAGCUGUUGUGCUAGAAAUCUUGCUGUAUGACACUGGAAUCAAUCUUGCUGUAUGACAUUGGGGUCCCCACUGAAAUUCACUGUAUGACACAUCCUGUAUGAUGACACUCAACACUGACACCCUGUCUACCCAUCUACUUCUACCUCUCCCACCUCCUUUACUGACUGACCCCCAUCUACUUACUCUCCCUCCUCCCUGACUCUUGGGCUCUCUCUUCAAUAAGUCAGGGACAAACUCUGACUGACCUCUUCAAAGAGUCAGGUACAAAAGGGAUGGAUCUCUCUUCAUGGACUCUCGGACUCUGACCUCUUCAAAGAGUCAGGGACAAAGAAUCCAAGUUUGAAGCUGCCCAAGUGGAGUCUUGUCUAAUGUGAUGAGAAUAUAAUUUUAUUUUCUUGAAUUUGUUUUUGUUCUCAGCUCCUCCCCUGUAAAAGAAGUGAACAGUGUUCUUUCCCUGUGUAUAUUAAAAAUGGAUAUGAAU